This 2901-nucleotide ribosomal RNA is filed under the name human gut metagenome. Its description in RNAcentral is "bacterial LSU rRNA". It matches the Rfam family "Bacterial large subunit ribosomal RNA". The record is from RNAcentral.
UUAAGCGACUAAGCGUACACGGUGGAUGCCCUGGCAGUCAGAGGCGAUGAAGGACGUGCUAAUCUGCGAAAAGCGUCGGUAAGGUGAUAUGAACCGUUAUAACCGGCGAUGUCCGAAUGGGGAAACCCAGUGCAAUUCGUUGCACUAUCGUUAACUGAAUACAUAGGUUAACGAGGCGAACCGGGGGAACUGAAACAUCUAAGUACCCCGAGGAAAAGAAAUCAACCGAGAUUCCCCCAGUAGCGGCGAGCGAACGGGGAGCAGCCCAGAGUCUGAAUCAGCUUGUGUGUUAGUGGAACGGUCUGGAAAGUCCGACGGUACAGGGUGAUAGUCCCGUACACCAAAAUGCACAGGCUGUGAACUCGAAGAGUAGGGCGGGACACGUGGUAUCCUGUCUGAAUAUGGGGGGACCAUCCUCCAAGGCUAAAUACUCCUGACUGACCGAUAGUGAACCAGUACCGUGAGGGAAAGGCGAAAAGAACCCCGGCGAGGGGAGUGAAAAAGAACCUGAAACCGUGUACGUACAAGCAGUGGGAGCACCUUCGGGUGUGACUGCGUACCUUUUGUAUAAUGGGUCAGCGACUUAUAUUCUGUAGCAAGGUUAACCGUAUAGGGGAGCCGCAGGGAAACCGAGUCUUAACUGGGCGUUAAGUUGCAGGGUAUAGACCCGAAACCCGGUGAUCUAGCCAUGGGCAGGUUGAAGGUUGGGUAACACUAACUGGAGGACCGAACCGACUAAUGUUGAAAAAUUAGCGGAUGACUUGUGGCUGGGGGUGAAAGGCCAAUCAAACCGGGAGAUAGCUGGUUCUCCCCGAAAGCUAUUUAGGUAGCGCCUCGUGAAUUCAUCUUCGGGGGUAGAGCACUGUUUCGGCUAGGGGGUCAUCCCGACUUACCAACCCGAUGCAAACUACGAAUACCGAAGAAUGUUAUCACGGGAGACACACGGCGGGUGCUAACGUCCGUCGUGAAGAGGGAAACAACCCAGACCGCCAGCUAAGGUCCCAAAGUCAUGGUUAAGUGGGAAACGAUGUGGGAAGGCACAGACAGCCAGGAUGUUGGCUUAGAAGCAGCCAUCAUUUAAAGAAAGCGUAAUAGCUCACUGGUCGAGUCGGCCUGCGCGGAAGAUGUAACGGGGCUAAACCAUGCACCGAAGCUGCGGCAGCGACGCUUAUGCGUUGUUGGGUAGGGGAGCGUUCUGUAAGCCGUUGAAGGUGUGCUGUGAGGCAUGCUGGAGGUAUCAGAAGUGCGAAUGCUGACAUAAGUAACGAUAAAGCGGGUGAAAAGCCCGCUCGCCGGAAGACCAAGGGUUCCUGUCCAACGUUAAUCGGGGCAGGGUGAGUCGACCCCUAAGGCGAGGCCGAAAGGCGUAGUCGAUGGGAAACAGGUUAAUAUUCCUGUACUUGGUGUUACUGCGAAGGGGGGACGGAGAAGGCUAUGUUAGCCGGGCGACGGUUGUCCCGGUUUAAGCAUGUAGGCUGGUUGUCCAGGCAAAUCCGGAUAAUCAAGGCUGAGGUGUGAUGACGAGGCACUACGGUGCUGAAGUAACAAAUGCCCUGCUUCCAGGAAAAGCCUCUAAGCAUCAGGUAACAUCAAAUCGUACCCCAAACCGACACAGGUGGUCAGGUAGAGAAUACCAAGGCGCUUGAGAGAACUCGGGUGAAGGAACUAGGCAAAAUGGUGCCGUAACUUCGGGAGAAGGCACGCUGGUGUGUAGGUGAAGUCCCUGCGGAUGGAGCUGAGACCAGUCGAAGAUACCAGCUGGCUGCAACUGUUUAUUAAAAACACAGCACUGUGCAAACACGAAAGUGGACGUAUACGGUGUGACGCCUGCCCGGUGCCGGAAGGUUAAUUGAUGGGGUUAUCCGUAAGGAGAAGCUCUUGAUCGAAGCCCCGGUAAACGGCGGCCGUAACUAUAACGGUCCUAAGGUAGCGAAAUUCCUUGUCGGGUAAGUUCCGACCUGCACGAAUGGCGUAAUGAUGGCCAGGCUGUCUCCACCCGAGACUCAGUGAAAUUGAACUCGCUGUGAAGAUGCAGUGUACCCGCGGCAAGACGGAAAGACCCCGUGAACCUUUACUAUAGCUUGACACUGAACAUUGAGCCUUGAUGUGUAGGAUAGGUGGGAGGCUUUGAAGUGUGGACGCCAGUCUGCAUGGAGCCGACCUUGAAAUACCACCCUUUAAUGUUUGAUGUUCUAACGUUGACCCGUAAUCCGGGUUGCGGACAGUGUCUGGUGGGUAGUUUGACUGGGGCGGUCUCCUCCCAAAGAGUAACGGAGGAGCACGAAGGUUAGCUAAUCCUGGUCGGACAUCAGGAGGUUAGUGCAAUGGCAUAAGCUAGCUUGACUGCGAGCGUGACGGCGCGAGCAGGUGCGAAAGCAGGUCAUAGUGAUCCGGUGGUUCUGAAUGGAAGGGCCAUCGCUCAACGGAUAAAAGGUACUCCGGGGAUAACAGGCUGAUACCGCCCAAGAGUUCAUAUCGACGGCGGUGUUUGGCACCUCGAUGUCGGCUCAUCACAUCCUGGGGCUGAAGUAGGUCCCAAGGGUAUGGCUGUUCGCCAUUUAAAGUGGUACGCGAGCUGGGUUUAGAACGUCGUGAGACAGUUCGGUCCCUAUCUGCCGUGGGCGCUGGAGAAUUGAGGGGGGCUGCUCCUAGUACGAGAGGACCGGAGUGGACGCAUCACUGGUGUUCGGGUUGUCAUGCCAAUGGCACUGCCCGGUAGCUAAAUGCGGAAGAGAUAAGUGCUGAAAGCAUCUAAGCACGAAACUUGCCCCGAGAUGAGUUCUCCCUGAGACUUUAAGUCUCCUGAAGGAACGUUAAAGACGAUGACGUUGAUAGGCCGGGUGUGUAAGCGCAGCGAUGCGUUGAGCUAACCGGUACUAAUGAACCGUGAGGCUUAACCUU